This 492-nucleotide ribosomal RNA is filed under the name uncultured bacterium. RNAcentral describes it as "partial 16S ribosomal RNA". It matches the Rfam family "Bacterial small subunit ribosomal RNA", at positions 29 to 507 of the family's 1533-position model. The record is from RNAcentral.
AGUGAACGCUGGCGGUAGGCCUAACACAUGCAAGUCGAACGGCAGCACAGUAAGAGCUUGCUCUUACGGGUGGCGAGUGGCGGACGGGUGAGGAAUACAUCGGAAUCUACUUUUUCGUGGGGGAUAACGUAGGGAAACUUACGCUAAUACCGCAUACGACCUACGGGUGAAAGCAGGGGAUCUUCGGACCUUGCGCGAUUGAAUGAGCCGAUGUCGGAUUAGCUAGUUGGCGGGGUAAAGGCCCACCAAGGCGACGAUCCGUAGCUGGUCUGAGAGGAUGAUCACCCACACUGUAACUGAGACACGGUCCAGACUCCUACGGGAGGCAGCAGUGGGGAAUAUUGGACGAUGGGCGCAAGCCUGAUCCAGCCAUACCGCGUGGGUGAAGAAGGCCUUCGGGUUGUAAAGCCCUUUUGUUGGGAAAGAAAAGCAGCAGGUUAAUACCCCGCUGUUCUGACGGUACCCAAAGAAUAAGCACCGGCUAACUUCGUG